RNAcentral lists this ribosomal RNA (306 nucleotides) under uncultured bacterium. RNAcentral describes it as "partial 16S ribosomal RNA". It matches the Rfam family "Bacterial small subunit ribosomal RNA", at positions 507 to 807 of the family's 1533-position model. The record is from RNAcentral.
GACAGCAGUCGCCGCGGUAAAACGGAGGGGGCUAGCGUUGUUCGGAAUUACUGGGCGUAAAGCGCGCGUAGGCGGCUUGGUAAGUUAGAGGUGAAAGCCUGGGGCUCAACCCCAGAAUUGCCUUUAAGACUGCCGAGCUAGUAGGUGAGAGAGGUAAGUGGAAUUCCGAGUGUAGAGGUGAAAUUCGUAGAUAUUCGGGAGAACACCAGUGGCGAAGGCGGCUUACUGGCUCAUUCUAGACGCUGAGGUGCGAAAGCGUGGGGAGCAAACAGGAUUAGAUACCCCUGUAGUCCCUGUCUCUUAUAC